Long non-coding RNA from Perca flavescens (yellow perch), 1664 nucleotides. RefSeq lists it as uncharacterized. NCBI's taxonomy places the organism in Eukaryota, Metazoa, Chordata, Actinopteri, Perciformes, Percidae. The record is from RefSeq and is a predicted model, not a curated record. The transcript is spliced from 4 exons.
ACUUCACAGGGGAUUCCUACAAGAUUAAUAAAGUAGACCUGCAGGACCCGAGCAGAGCUACGAUGCGCUCCCAGGUCACCUUAGCUCACAUCAGGCAGCAGGCCGACCAACCAGGAGGACGUGGGAGCAGCAGAGGGAGAGGAGCCUUCGGUCUCUCUGGGGAGGAAACACUGUGUGCGAAGGCUUCAAACAGCCAGGGUAUAGACCAAUAGCGUUUCUGCUUUCUCUGGACGUGACAUCACGAUGACAUGAUGAGGGUUUCUAUGGCAGACUUGACGAAGCUCCUCCAGAGCCUCAGAAAAAGGAGUACUCCUCGUUAACUGAUCUUGAUGUGUACAAAUCGGUGGAGUGGCCCUUUAACUGUCCUGCUACCUGUGAGCCCGUUUUAAUUUCCCAGGACACAAGGCCGGAGCAUGGAGGGAAUACCGCACAGUCUGAGACUUCAACAAGACACACCACAGCAAGGCACAUGGCCAGUCAGUGGUGGGACCAAUCCUUUAUGCCUUAUACCAGGGGUGUCAAACAUAUGGUCUGUGGGCCAGAACCGGCCCGCCAAAGGGUCCAAUCAAGCCCACUGGACGACUUUGCAAAGUCUUCUUUUUCUGUAAAUUUACGACUUUAAUCUUUGAAGUAUUUUCUUGUCAUAUUACCUCUUUUCUCCCGGGUCCCUAACAUUAUUAUUUCUCGCUGGUCUCCCCAGCAGGACAGCUGGUGUUGUGGGGUUGGGAGGGUGAAGGUUCCUGUCACCAACAAUGAGCUGAUUUGCUGUUGCUGGUGUGUAGCCCCAAACACGGAGAAAGUUAGGACAGAAAGUAUUUUGACAGUAUUUUGAUAAAACGCUAAGAAAUGAUUAGGACAUAAUUAUUGUUAUUCUACAUUCUACAGUUCAAGAGAUAUUUGCCUGCAUGCGUUGAUGUAGCACCCCCAAAUCUUGUUUGAGCAAUACCAUCACAAAAUCUGCUGCUAGCACAAAUAUCUGGCUGAAAUGACAAAAUAUCUACUCAGGUUUUGGCUUACAGUUUCUGAGAUCCAGACCCUUUUAGAGGAGGGCAGAAGGAAAGGCAACUACAUGUCAAGCAACAACUCAGAUUAUAAAGGCCACCUUUUGUUUUCUUCUUUUUUUUAAGAUAAUUGUUUUUUGCCAUUUUUACCUUUAUUUCUGAAAGGACAGCUUUAGACAUGAAAGGGGAGAGAGAGGGGGAAUGACAUGCAGCAAAGGGCCGUAGGUCAGAACCGAACCCGCGGCCAACGCGUCAAAGGACUGAUCCUCUGUAUAUGGGCACGCAUUCUAGCAGGUGAGCUAAACGCUAAGGCCAAGGCCACCUUUUUAAGGUUAAAGUGCACAAAAUGUUCCCUAAUAUAAAGUCAGAUCAGGAGUUAGCCAUCUGCCACCUCUUCCAUGAAGUGCCCUCAAAUCUUCCUGUGAAAGAGUGCAGCUGAUCGAAGUCUUGAAGCGUUUAGCUCCCGGUCAAGCGGACAGAAACAUGAGCUGCUGCUGCUAAUGCACGGCAGCACCUCUUCCUUUGUGUUGUAAAUAAACCACCAGCUGAUCCUGUUUCAGCCCGUCUGAGCACAUGCUCAUCAACACACUGACUGAAUGCAGGUGAUAUAAAGAGAUGCAGUAGAUAUAAAAGGCUAAAAACAAUGGGAUAACAAAAAUCUCC